CUGCUUUGGCCGCCACCGCAGCUGCCGCUGCCUGCUCGUUGCCGCGUCUUCCCGGAGGCGGCUGCUGGAAGCCGCCGGGAGCAGCUGCGGGGCUCUGCCAUAUUGUGUCUUCCCCUGGCCGGCCCUUGCCUUCCCCCUGCGGCGGCCGAGCUGACGAGUUAUAAGAGUCAAUGGGUCCAGUAAUUGGAAUGACACCAGAGAAGAGAGCUGAAACCCCAGGAGCUGAAAAGGUUGCAGGAUUAAGCCAGAUUUACAAAAUGGGAAGCUUGCCUGAAGCUGUCGAUGCUGCCAGGCCAAAGGCCACUCUAGUGGACAGUGAGUCAGCGGAUGAUGAACUCACAAACUUGAACUGGCUUCACGAAAGCACCAAUCUUCUUACCAACUUCAGCCUGGGAAGUGAGGGUCUUCCUAUUGUUAGUCCACUGUAUGACAUAGAAGGAGAUGAUGUGCCGCCUUUUGAACCGUCGCGCUACCAGGACCCCGAAAAAAAAUCGGCAACUUCAAAGCCCCCUUACUCCUUUAGCCUCCUUAUUUAUAUGGCUAUUGAACACUCUCCAAACAAAUGUUUGCCCGUCAAGGAAAUUUAUAGCUGGAUUCUGGACCGCUUCCCAUAUUUCGCUACUGCACCAACAGGCUGGAAGAAUUCUGUUCGUCAUAAUCUGUCCCUGAAUAAAUGUUUUCAGAAAGUGGAAAGAAGCCAUGGCAAGGUGAAUGGAAAAGGUUCUUUAUGGUGCGUUGAUCCAGAAUAUAAACCCAGUCUCAUGCGGGCACUGAAGAAGCAGCCUUUUUCCUCAACAUUGACGGUUUACACGCCUCCUGCCUCUCCGCGAAGUGGUUCUUUAUCACCUCACUACUUGACCUCUGUACUAAAGCAGAACCAAGUGCGAUCUCUCAAAGAGUCUGAUAUUGAUGCUGCCACUGCAAUGAUGCUUUUAAAUACUUCUCUAGAACAAGGAGUUUUAGAACGUGAGAAACCUCUUCCUCUUAAAACAGCACUGCAAAAAAAGAGGAGUUAUAGCAAUGCGUUUACCCAUCCCGGUGCUGCGCGUUUACCAGAGGGCGACUCCCCAGCCACCAGCACUGAUCCCAAGGAAGACCACAAUUACAGUGCAAGCAGCAUGGCGGCACAGCGCUGUGUCUCCCGGUCUAGUGUGUCUUCCCUGUCCUCUGUGGAUGAGGUAUAUGAACUGAUCCCAAAGAGCAGCCACGUGGGAAGCGACGGCAGUGAAGGGUUUCAUAGUGAAGAAGAUACAGACGUUGAUUACGAAGACGAUCCUCUUGGAGACAGUGGCUACGCGCCACAGGCUUGUGCAGAUACCUCUAGAAAAGGACAGCCAGGCAAAAAGAUGCGAACGCAGCCAUGCCAAGAAAUCGACGAGGAGCUCAAAGAGGCAGCUGGAUCUCUGCUCCACCUUGCUGGAAUUCGCACGUGUCUGGGUUCCCUAAUAAGUACUGUUAAGACACAAAAUCAAAAGCAGCGGAAAAAAUAGAAAUCCUUAUUAGAGUGAAAUUACUUUAAAGUGUGGCAAUACUCUUCUACUUUAUUCUUCACAAGGGAUAUCAAAGCCAUAAUGGACUUCUUUAGUUUCGGGGUGGGGAGGGGUGCUAAUUACUUCUUUCUUUCAAAAGAUUAAUGUUUUAUUUUAUUUUUUUAUUUCUAUUAAAUAAUUGCUGUUAGGAUCAUGCCCAAUCGUAAAUGUAUGAUGUGAAGUCCUAAGAGGAUAACUUCUGUGGAUGAGGGUCUCCAAGAUUUGGAAGUUUUUAUAAUGAAAUACCCGGCAUCUAUCUUCAAACUAAAGGGAAAGUCUUUCCUUCUGUUAAUACGUCAAAAUCAUAACAGUUUUCCUGAGUUUGGAUUAUAACUGCCAGUAGAUGACCAGUCACGAGCGAACCACUUCUCAGCCGCCAGUCCUUAGCCCAUAUUAAAAGCAACUUACGAAUGUUUAGUUUUUGUAUCUAAUCUGGUUAUUAAAAUGUUUAUAAAGUUUAUUUUUACCAAAGAGAUGCAAUUCAUUAUGAUAAAGUAUUACAGAAUAAACUUUGUUUUAUAACAUUUUUGUGCUGUUCAUUUGUGGGCCGGGGUGGAGGAGACACAGGUGGCUCGUGGUCCUGUGUACACGCACAUGCGUAUACACACGCACGUAAACACAACUUUCUGUUGCACUUGUACAGAAUUGGAGUCAUGCAGAUGAAAAACCAUGUUUCAAUUUCAGAAUUGAAAAAAUCUUUUAUUUUUCAAAGCGUUGUUUUUCCUGGUUUUUACAUGUCAUCUUAAUCACUGAAAGCUAAAAUAGGACUAAUUUAAUGAUCCUCUUCCUAAAAUUCAGCUGUUUUUCCUGUUUGAGUAUUUAAAAGAAAACUCGUGUGUGUGAGAAAUUUUGAAAUAUAACAGAAGAAUUGAGUAGGAUAUAAAAGUAUUAAGAUUGUUUCUAAGUGCACUCAUGUUACUUGAAAUACACCAGUAAUACCGCUGUUUAAAAACUGGGACAUCCAAUAUAAAAAAUAAAAAGGAAUCAUCUACAACCAACCUCUUCAUCUUGUUUCCCCCCUUGAAGUUCUAUGCCGAUAAUUUAAAUAGUAUUUUCUACAUAUAGUUCAUUUAAAUUAAGUGAGUCAACCACAUUGAUUAUAAACUACAACCACCCUCUCUGUGCCCCACUCCUUCCAAUGCAUCCUUUUGAAGUACAACAGUCGUUUAAAAAUCAUAGCCAUUUGGGACCCAUCUAUUUGUUCCUUAAAAGAAUUUUUUUCUCACUUUUGCAUUUAUUGUCUAGCUCUGAUGGGGAAAGAAAUAUUUUUACAACAAUAACCUAUUUUUGAAAUGUGGAUUAAGAACGCAUUCAUCCCUUCAUAAUUUCAGAACAUACUAAUUUGAUAGCUUUUUAAAAACUGGAAAUAAAGCUGUCAAUGUAGAUUGGAUUUAGAUUUAAAAUACCAAUAGUUGUUUAUGUUCCAUGAAAUUUUAAAUAGAGGUGUUUAGAAGCUGCAGGUGAAAAUUAAAAUAGCCAGGAGCUAACUUUUGUGUAUACGGAGAAUUCAACGCACUUAUAUUCACAGAUAGUUGUGUUCCAAAAGUUUAUUUACAAAUCUGUUGUUUGGAAAGUAGGCGCAUUUUCCAGCAAACUUCAAGGCAAGCUAUAAAAGCUUAUUUAGCUCAUAAUGUGUUUGAUAAACAACAAUCCCUUCUUAACUGAAAGCAACAUGCACAAAAUUUUUUGGAUAAGUAGUUUCCUUCCAUGAAAGUUUUGCCUCAACCUCAAGAUUUUGGCUCAAGUGAAUACUGGUAUUGAGUUACCCUUGGCAAGUUUAAUAAAAGGAAAGGGGGAGUUGGACAAAAAGAGAUUACAAAAAGUAAUAUUAAUUUAGGGGAGAUCGAAGCUGAAACAACUGAUGUGUGUCAGGAGAAGGGAGUUGAGAAUUCUAAGAGAUUGCAGCCAGAUUAAAGUACUCUGCAAUGUAAUUUAAGUUUAUAGGGUAAUCUUGUACGUUGGAGAGGGGUUGACAAAAAGCUCAUCCUUAGUGAGCUGAGAUCUAUUCACUCAAGUAUUUGAGCGCCUAGUCCCAAACACAAAAAUAGACAAGCCCUGCCCUAAAAAUGUAAGUGUAAUAGUUGCCAUCGAAAGACUAGAGAGCUAUGAGAUCAUGUAACAGGCGGCCUAACAGUUAACUGCUCAGCUGCCAAACAAAAUAUUGGUGAUUGGAACCCACUCGGGCUCCGCGGCAGAAAGACCUGAUGAUCCGCUCCCGUAAAUAUUACAGGCUAGAAAACCCAGUGGGAGGCAGUUCUACUUCGUCACGUGGGGUCGCUGUGAGUCGAGAAUCAACUGGCACCUAACAACACCCUGAAGAUGUGAUUUAAGCUAAGAUAUGAAAGAAGCAGAGGUAUUAUUUUGGGAACGAAUGUAUGAAAAAUUGUGCCGGUCAGGGGUUACUGUUUUCUCUGAGAUCUCUGUGAUAAGGGAAAAUGAGGCUUUCAGUGAGCUAUGACAGUGUGGCUACAAAGCAGAGGGACUGGGGCCAGAUCUUGCAAAGCCAUACGUUGCUGCUGCUGCUGCCGUUAGGUGCUGUUGAAGGUUUCAACUGGUAGCGACCCUAUGUACAACAGAACAAAACACUGCCCGGUCCUGCGACAUCGUCAGAAUCAUGCUUGAGCCCAUUGUUACAGCCACUGUGUCAGUCCAUCUUGUGGAGGGUCUUCCUCUUUUCCUGACUUCUACUUUACCAAGCGUGAUGCCCUUCUCCAGGGGCUGGUUCCUCUUGAUAGCGUGUCCAAAGUACGUGAGACAAAGUUUCACCAUCCUUGUUUCUAAAGAGCCAUUCUGGCUAUACUUGUUCCAAAGGCUGAUUUGUUCAUUCUUCUGGGAGUCAAUUGGUAUACUCGAUAUUCUUCACCAACACCGUAAUUCAAAGGCAUCGGUUCUUCUUCGGUCUUCCUUAUUCACUGUCCACCUUCAGCAUGCAUAUGAAGUGAUUGAAAAUACCAUGGCUUGGAUCAGGUGCACCCUAGUCCUUUUCGACACUUUAAAGAGGCCUUUUGCAGCAGAUUUGCCCAAUGCAACACAGUCGUUCAAUUUCUUGACCACUGCUUCCAUGGACGUUGAUUGUGGAUCCAAGUAAAAUGAAACCCUUGACAACUUCAAUCCUUUCUCCAUUUAUCAUGAUGUUGCCUGUUGGUCCAGUUGUGAGGAUUUUUGUUUUCUUUAUGUUGAGGUGCAAUCCAUACUGAAGACUGUAGUCUUUGAUCUUCAUCAGUAAGUGCUUCAAGUCCUCUUUACUUUUAUUAAGCAAGGUUGUGUCAUCUGCAUAUCAUAGGUUGUUAAUUCAUCUCCAAUCCUGAUGCCGCAUUCUUUGUAUAGUCCAGCUUCUUGGAUUAUUUGCUCAGCAUACAGAUUGAAUAAAUAUGGUGAAAUAUACAAUCCCGAUGCACACUUUUCCUGCCUUUAAACCACGCAGUAUCUCCUUGUUCUGUUCGAAUGAUUGCCCCUUGGUCUAUGUACAAGAUGGCUCAUGAGCACAAUUAAGUGUACUGGAAUUCUCAUUCUUCUCAAUGUUAGCCAUAAUUUGUUGUGAUCCACACAGUAGAAAGCAUUUGCAUAGUCAACAAAAUGCAGGUAAACAUCUUUCUGGUACUCUCUGCUUUCUGCCAAGAUUCAUCUGACAUCAGCAAUGAUAUUCCUUGUUCCACCCCCUUUCUGAAUCUGGCUUGAACUUGUGGCAGUUCCCUGUCAAUGUACUGCUGCAACCCUUUUUGAAUUAUCUUAAGCAAAAUUUUUCUUGCUUGUGAUAUCGGUGAUAUUGUUUGAUAAUUGCUGCAUUCUGUAGGAUCAUCUUUCUUUGGAAUGGGCACAAAUAUGGAUCUCUUCCAGUCAGUUGCCCAGGUAGCUGUCUUCCAAAUUUCUUGGCAUAGAUGAGUGAGUACCUCCAGCGCUCCAUCCAUUACAGCCUUGGAAAUCUUAUGACAGUUCUACCCUGUCAUAUACAGUUGCUAUGAGUCAGGAUGAACUCGAUGGCACACAAUGACUUACUAUGUUGAGCAUCUUUUCAUGUGCUUAUUGACCAUUUGUAUAUGCUUUUAGAAAAAUGCCUAUUCAAGCCUUUUGCCCAGCAUUUGAUCGGGUUGUUUGUCUUUUUGGUUUUGGGUUGUAGGAGUUCUUUAUAUACUCGGGAUAUCAAACACUUAUUACCCAUUGCCAUCGAGUCGAUUCUGACUCAUAGUGACCCUAUAGGACAGAGUAGAACAGCCUCAUAGGGCUUCCAAGGAGUGCCUAGUGGAUUCGAACUGCCGACCUUUUGGUUGGCAGCCAUAGCUCUUAACCACCACGCCACCAGAGUUUCUAAAUGCUUAUUGUGUUAAUGAUUUUAAAAUAAUUUCUCCCAUUCUAUGGGCUGUCUUUUCACUUUCUUGACAAUGUCUGUUUAUGGUGCAUUGGUUAAGAGCUUGGCUGCUAACAAAAAGGUUGUUAGUUCAAAUCCACCAGCCACUCUUUGGAAACUCUGUGGGGCAGUUCUACUCUGUUCUAUAUUGUCUCUAUGAGUCGGAACUGACUCAAAAGCAACAUGUGCAAAAGGUUUUUUGUUUUUUUUGAUCAAGUCCAAUUUAUUUUUUUCUUUUGUUGCUUAUGCUUUUGUUGUCUAAGAAUCCAUUGCCAAAAACAAGGUCCUUCUAAGAGUCUGAAGGAGCCCUGGUAGAGCAGUGGUUAAAGAAUUCAGCUGCUAACUGAAAGGUUAGCAUUUCAAACCCACCAGCUGCUUCAUGGGAGAAAGAUGUGACAAUCUGCUUCUGUAAAGAUUACAACCUUGGGAACUCCAUGGGGCAGUUCUACUAUGUCCUAUAGGGUUGCUAUGAGUCAGAAUCAUCCCAUUGGCAAUGGGUUUUGGGUUUUCUAAGAACUUGAUGGCUUUAGCUCUUAUAUCUAGGUCAUUGAUCUGUUUUGAAUUAAUUUGCAUAUAUGCUAUGAGGUAGGGGUCCAACUUCAUUCUCUUGGAUGUGGAAAUUCAGUUGUCCCAGCACUAUUUGUUGAAGAGAACAUUCUUUCCCUAUUAAAUGGACUUGGCACCCUUGUUGAAAAUUGAUUGGCCAUAGAUGUAUGGAUUUAUUUCUGGACUCCAAUUCUAUUUCAUUGGUCUAUAUGUCUAUUCUUAUACUAGUACCACACUCUUUUGAUUACUGUAUUUUUAAAUCAGGAAACGUGAGCUCUCCUACUUUGUUCUUUUUAAGAUUGUUUUGGAUAU
Molecule: RNA transcript, 6732 nt
Organism: Loxodonta africana (African savanna elephant)
Lineage: Eukaryota; Metazoa; Chordata; Mammalia; Proboscidea; Elephantidae
Gene: FOXN2
Gene name: forkhead box N2
Exons: 7
Source: RefSeq, a predicted model, not a curated record